GGCAGGAUGGCCGAGCGGUUAAGGCGCUGCACUCAAGAGGACUCGUCUUCUUCCCAAUUGAAUUGGUGUAUUGCAGUAUCGAAAGGUGCGUGGGUUCGAGUCCCACUCCUGUCA
This 114-nucleotide transfer RNA is filed under the name Ophiostoma piceae UAMH 11346. It matches the Rfam family "tRNA". From Rfam's summary of the family: Transfer RNA (tRNA) molecules are approximately 80 nucleotides in length. Their secondary structure includes four short double-helical elements and three loops (D, anti-codon, and T loops). The record is from Rfam by way of RNAcentral. Lineage: Eukaryota; Fungi; Ascomycota; Sordariomycetes; Ophiostomatales; Ophiostomataceae.